CAAAUUCGUGUCUUGGGGAAUA
This 22-nucleotide microRNA is filed under the name Danio rerio (zebrafish). RNAcentral describes it as "dre-miR-10a-3p". Its record names the gene dre-miR-10a-3p. The record is from miRBase by way of RNAcentral. Lineage: Eukaryota; Metazoa; Chordata; Actinopteri; Cypriniformes; Danionidae. RNAcentral also lists the same sequence under 1 other name.